This is a long non-coding RNA of Pseudopipra pipra, 2477 nucleotides long. RefSeq lists it as uncharacterized. The transcript is spliced from 6 exons. NCBI's taxonomy places the organism in Eukaryota, Metazoa, Chordata, Aves, Passeriformes, Pipridae. The record is from RefSeq and is a predicted model, not a curated record.
UUGUUCUUUCUAUGGUUCUAAAGAUUUGUGUUUAAUUAACACUUAUUACUAAUUGUACCAUGUAGUUGUUUUCACAAAAAUGUGAAAUUUUAUCUUUUGUUUCAUUAAAAAUGCAGGGAAUAAAACCCAUCAAAUGACUUAUUCAAGUUUAUAAUGGAGUGAAAUAUUUGACACUACCCUUGUACAAGGUCAAAUUGUUCUCCAGAACUAUUGCUAUUAUUACAGAAAUUUUAAAGAAAGAGUUAUGAAAAUAAAAAUCCAGAAGAGUGUUCUUCAAUAUGCACAAUCAGGAAAAAAUUACUCCUUCGAAUCAGAUACUGACCACUCACAAAUUGCCUUUAUGUUGAAGGAUCCACCCGCCCAAAAUGGCUACUCAAGAGUCAUUACUGAAGUAGUGCAUGAAUCCACCUGGAACAUUGCUUGUGAGUUUUGAGACUCCCAGGGCUAAUUCAGUGGGUUGCUCAUCUGAUUCCUUCAAUAUUAAACACACAGUUUGGUUGCUGCUACUGCUAUAGAAGACCAUUUCUGUUUGACUCCUGACAAAUGAGAUACUGAUGACUUUAAAAGAAGAAAUUUAUCAAGCUCUGUGGAACACUGGGAAAAACUGGAAGUGAAAAAUGAAAAUUAAACUCCACAAUCAACAUUUUCAGCACGCAGACAGAAGGGUAUUUGUAUUCCAGUAGUGCCAUUUCUGAGGAGCAAAUAAGUGCCUGAAAAAUCAGGAAUGCUUUACUCUUUUUCUCACUUUUCAAGACACUAUUUUCAUCCACUUACAUUUGAGGCCCUUUCCUCCAAGUUUUCUCUACUUUGUAAUGAAAAUUGAAGAAAAUUCCUGUGCUUCUGAUUUAGAUUCUAAGUCUCUGCCACAUUCAAUUCAACUUUUGCAAGUUUUCUCUUUUGAAUUUAAAACCUUAAUUAUAGAGUUUCUUUUAUUUGGUUCACCUUCAUUCAGCUGAGUCACUCACAACCACUUCAUCCAACAUCAUGUCACUAACAACAACUUGAUAAAGAGUUUUUAAUAGUAGUGCCCCAUAGAAGUCUCUAUUAUCAUAAAUUCCUAUUACAAAAACACAAUUAAUACAAAUUCACAUAAAUUUAUCAGAAAUUGACAGCCAGUCCUUUUAUAUAUAAUAAUAGCUGACCAGCUACAUUUCUACCUAUAAUGCAAAACUGAUCUAUUUCCUGUUUGUAGGAAUGACCUGGGAAAAAAAACAAAUUCCAACCAAGAAAACCCCAAAACAAACCCAAACAAGCCCUCACUGUAAAUAACCACUGGUGAGGUCUGGGGAGGAUACAGUAACUGAAGGAAAGCAGACACCUAAUAGUGAAGAGAAUGGAUUUCUACCUCUACACUACCUCAACUGUCUAGGCAGACUGGCAUAAAAAAUAAUAUGUCUUUUAUCUUUGUGCAAUUUAAUAUUUAGAAGAAAAUAAUAUAGUCAAAAAAACAAAGAAAAAAAUCCAUGAAAGAAGAGACUGAAUUACUUAUGAUCUGGGACCAGAUCUUAGCUUGAGUCCUCUAUCUCAAAACUGACAGAAAUGAAGGAUCAUUCUGAGUGUUGCUAUAAUCCAAUGUCAAUUAUUCCAUAAAAAAUUGUAACUGCUUCAACAUAAAAGAGAAAUCCAAAAUAUACAUAGGAGAUGGAUUUACAGGAUGUAAGUUUCAUAUAUAAUGAAAGCUCAAAAAAUUGACCUGUUAUUAAGAUUGUAGAGAUAUUUCCUUCUCCACUGGCUGAAUUUUCAAAGGUAAGAUGGGCUUGGAAAUGUAACAGCAGGAGACAGGUAUUCAGGCUGCUGAAUACCCUGUUUAGAUGUGCAAUUUGGACUGAGAAAGUUUGCUGCUUUCAAAUAGAAGUGAGACGGGCAGUCCAGUGGUAGCCUGGUUUCAGAUGUAAAAUAUAGAACUCAUAGCCCACCAUCUUUCCAUCUUAAUGUGCUGGUUUUAAAAAAUCAUCAGAGAAAAGUUAAGACUGCUUGAGCUGCUCCCUUAUGAUAGUGGAGGGGGAAAACAAAGAAAACAAGACUGUGAGAGGUUAAAAAUGUUCAUCCCAAUUUUACUGAGGUAAAACUUGCAAAUAACAAAACAAUACAGAGGAAAAUGGUUUAACCAUAAAAACCAAAAAAGGCAAAAUGUUACCUGGCCCCUGACCCCUAGGGUAAAACAAAAAUGGCUCCUGUUCCUGUGCUGCACACCACAAGGCCUGGAAGAACAAAGAAAGUACUGUGGCAAACAAGUUUUUUGCAAUUUAAUGCCCUCCCUGGGCACGGGGAAAGACAAUGGGGAACAGGGGCAAAGCAAAAAAGACCCUCAAAGACUAUUUUAUCUGAAAGGAUUUAUGCUGCUGAGAUGCUGGUGUGGGUCUCAGCAUAGUGGUGGUGUGGAUGCAGGAGGUUCUUUGUUCCCUGCCGCACAGCUUCCUCCAGCACUGGCACUACUCUGCUCAUCUCUACUGGGGUUUUGGGCUCUGUGAGGCUUG